RNAcentral lists this non-coding RNA (229 nucleotides) under Halalkalibacterium halodurans. RNAcentral describes it as "Bacillus halodurans T-box sequence". It matches the Rfam family "T-box leader". From Rfam's summary of the family: Uncharged tRNA acts as the effector for transcription antitermination of genes in the T-box leader family. T-boxes are found upstream of many aminoacyl-tRNA synthetase genes and some amino acid biosynthetic genes usually in Gram-positive bacteria. The anticodon of a specific tRNA base pairs to a specifier sequence within the T-box motif, and the NCCA acceptor tail of the tRNA base pairs to a conserved bulge in the T-box antiterminator hairpin. Lineage: Bacteria; Bacillati; Bacillota; Bacilli; Caryophanales; Bacillaceae. The record is from RNAcentral.
GAAAAAACAGUGACGAGGAGUAGUAGUGGGCCCCUGCUUGCGCCUAGAGAAUUGACGGUUGGUGGAAGUCAAUCGCAGCAGCCAUGAACUCGCCUUGAAGUUGCAUUGGUGAACAGGAAGUAGCCAAUGACGUUGCCCGCGUUAAGGGACACGAGUGAGCCUUUAAAGGAGCAAGGUUAACGAGGGUGGUACCGCGGGUCGUUUGUUAUACAAACCUCUCGUCCCUUUU